GUGUCAGCAGCCGCGGUAAUACGGAGGGUGCAAGCAUUAAUCGGAUUUAUUGGGCGUAAAGGGCGCGUAGACGGGGAUAUAAGUCAGAUGUGAAAUCCUGGGGCUCAACCUCAGAACUGCAUUUGAAACUGUAUCUCUUAGAGGGUAGGAGGAGAAAACGGAAUUCCAAAAGUAGCGGUGAAAUGCGUAGAUAUGUGGAAGAACACCGGUGGCGAAGGCGGUUUUCUAUCUUAUUCCUGACGCUGAGGCGCGAAAGCAAGGGGAUCAAACAGGAUUAGAUACCCCGGUAGUCC
RNAcentral lists this ribosomal RNA (293 nucleotides) under uncultured bacterium. Its description in RNAcentral is "partial 16S ribosomal RNA". It matches the Rfam family "Bacterial small subunit ribosomal RNA", at positions 505 to 796 of the family's 1533-position model. The record is from RNAcentral.